RNAcentral lists this small nuclear RNA (107 nucleotides) under Microtus ochrogaster (prairie vole). Lineage: Eukaryota; Metazoa; Chordata; Mammalia; Rodentia; Cricetidae. The record is from RNAcentral.
GUGCCCACUAAGGCAGCACACAGAGUGAAAUUGGAGCAGUAUAGAGAUAGUUAGAAUGGCUUCUGAGUAAUGGUGACGUGCAUAUUCAGAAUACACCCCUUAUUUAA